Molecule: long non-coding RNA, 3387 nt
Organism: Cavia porcellus (domestic guinea pig)
Lineage: Eukaryota; Metazoa; Chordata; Mammalia; Rodentia; Caviidae
Exons: 2
Source: RefSeq, a predicted model, not a curated record
UCAUGCUCCGAGGAAAGCAAGCAAGAAAGGAGCAGAGAGAGCAGGAGCUCCACAGCAGCACAAAGAGAGGAUGGGAAUCUAGGGAGAGGGGACCAGAGCUGGGGAAGGCAACUGGAGCAUAGUGCGGAGACCGGAAACUGCAGAUUUGUUUUAGCGUCAAUGUCCUGACUCAGUCCUGAUUUAAUGCAUGAGGUGAUUAAGAACCUGUAGAUCUACACUUCACAACUUGUGACCUUCAUCUUCACUGCUUCUUCAGACUUGGGUGGACACCCAGAAAGUAUCUGAGGAUGCUGGCACUGUGUUUGAAUAUCGCUGCCUGUUAACAGAGCGUAGAGUGUGCAAAUUCCCUGCAGCUAACGCGAUACUUGACACACAUUGGAUUGCCUCAAUUGCUAGCUUGUCUUUGUGUGCAAGGCCCAUUUCCUCCCCAGGGCCAUCUGUGAUGUGGUUACUGCUGUUCUCCUCAUUUUCCUUUAAGGAUGCUGAGGCCCUGAAAGGUAAAACAGUUUCCCACAAUCCUGCCUUGCAGCCACUGAGCAUUAAGACAAGAUUCAGUCCCAAGCAUUAGAAUCCCAGACUUUGAGCUAUAGAGGAUGAAUCUGGUUUUUCCAGAGGUGUCUUGCCUGUGAGAUGGGUGGUUUCCAGUUUGUGAUGACUCAGCCCUGUGCAGGCAACCAAUGGGCUUUCUGUCUUAUAAAUCAAGGUACUGUGCCCCAAAUAAUAAGGGUACUAACACACAGCUCUGAGACAAAAUCUAAUCUCUUGGCAAGACCUCAACACCAGCCUUUCUGAAGAAGCUGGCCACACCUAACCCUGGUGACUGUUGGUCCCCCAGAUCUGAAUUUAAGCUGUCUGUGCAGGCUGCCUGCCUAGUCAUUGCCCAGGAGCUGUUUGUGGCCUUGGCUGAGAAAAGGAUUUUUUUUCUCCCUCAUCACCUUCCAUCUGGGGACAUCCCAACUCCAGCUUAGUCCCUGGUGGCCUUGCCCAACUUUGGUUCUUGUUCUUUCUAUGCCUGACCACCCUGGAUCAAAGUCCUGUGUGGAUGUCAGCAUGUAUCCCUCCUACUGGUAUAGCGUGCUCACAGAAUUCUGAAACCAUGGUUUCUGUCUAAGGUUGCAGAAGGAUUGAAAUAGCAUCUCCAUAGGAAUCACUCUCCAUUUAAAUUCAAAUCCAUUUAUGGAGCUCAUACCCGCCUCUGCUGGAUUUCAUUUUCCCCAAAGGUUUGGAACAACAAAAUUUACUCAAAAUGUGAAUUUUUAUUCCUCUUCAAAUCUAUAGGGUGCCCCAUUACCAAUAAAACAGUCCACCAUGUCUUGAUACAUAUCAUUUUAAACAUCAGGGCACUCUUGAUACCCCCAAGAACUAAAAAUGAAACUUCCUGUGUGGAGGAGUUGUGGAAUGUGAAGAUAGCUGAGCAGUUUGGACAGAUAGUGACAUCUAUAGACAAUGUUGUUGAAUAAUUCUUGGGGAAAGUUAUGUAAUUCUGCUAUCUUCACUUGAGCAAGUUGCAAGCCUCAAGCUGCAGAGCAAAACUUUUAGUUGCCAUUGAUGUUUCUUUCAGUACAAUGAAUGCACAGUUAGAGUUCAUUUGGAGAGAGAGAAAUGUACACACCUAUGGGCCUUCACUGGGCCAUGAGAUUCAUAAGGAAGGACACAAGCUGAGGAGUGUGCUUAGUGCUUUAUAUGGAGUGUUUUGGCUGUAUGGUUAAUUGGUGUGCAAAGCCUCUGUGUUUUCUCUUUGAAAAACUAAUCUGUGUAAGGUUACUAGAAGACAUUGUUUUCUCAGCAAUACAUUUCUUUUGAUUUUAAAUGGAAUAUUGAAAUAAGACGUUUUCCUCCUCUUAAGAGUUUAUUUGAAGGGGAGGAUUGAAGGGAGGAUUUAUGAACAUAGAUGAACUAUUUGGACAAGUGCCUCAGGCUUCUUAAAACUGUGAUCUCUUGUUCAUGCCAUGGGUUUCAGCCCACUAAAGGGACAAAAUCUUUGUCAAUGUGUUCUGGAAGCUUUCAGAGAGAUCUGUGUUUUACUAAUUGACUGCAAGCAAAUAAGCUAAACUACCACACAUAAUGCUGCAAAAACAGAAAGCAAAACACAAACAAGCAAAAAAAGGAAAAGUGCGACAAGCAUCGUCUCCCACGCUGCAGUAGUUUCAUCAUUUUCCUUUGCAUCUUUGUUAGCUACCCCAAGGAGAUACACAGAGAUGAACCCAAAGGCCAUACAGUGGCCUGAAAUGUUACAUGUCACCCAGCCUUGUCACAUCCCUGACCUCUUCAUCAAUAGCCUGCUCAGUCCACUGUGAGAAGACCCCUGGGACUUCCCACUUCUUCCUUGCCCUCAUGCUGAGAAUGCUCACAGGGACUCAGACGCUCCACUGCCCUCAGUGCUCAAGUCUUCAGGAAUUCAUCUUUCUCACAAUUACUCCUGGCUCACUCCAGCACUGCUUUCUGCUGUCCUCCCUCUGCCUCUGACUCUGUGGCAGAUGUCUCUGCUCAGCCUCUGUCUUAGUUAUUUUUUACUCAUCGCAGAGACAAAAACACCUGAUGCUCAAAGUUAGGGAAGGAAAGGUUUAUUUCUUACAGUUCUUCAGGUUUCAGUCCAUACUCAGUUGGCUCCAAGGCAGCAUGGCAUGGUGGGGCAGCCAUUCAUGGCUGCUGCAAACAGCAAGGCACAAGUCAGCAAGAGAGAGAGACAUGGCUUCUUCCUGCUGAAACAUCAUAUGCUGGCUCCACCCCUAGGUAGGUGUAGCACUCACAUCACCAAUCUGAGUGCUAGGCAAUGAACCAAUCACAAACACUAGAUUUGUUCAAGUCCAUAAUUGCAUGAGGCUUGGGGGCCACUGACAUAGACCAUGAUCGCCUCCAUAAAGAAGCAAGCUUCCCAGGCAUGCCAAUGCUCUGUGUGAGAAAAAUGGAAUAAGUAUUUGUCCUAGGGAUUUUUUAUGUCAUUCAAAAAAAAGAAAUUGUCCCUAGCAUACUUCUAUUUAAAUCAUACAGGCAAAAAAUCUAUCAUUUGGCUAUGCUCAGUGGAAAUAGAAGCCUAGAUGUUGUUUAGUUUGUAAGGAACAUGUUUUAUGAGAAAGAAUUUGGAAUUGCAUUUGGAGUAUGCUUGUCUUUAGCAUCAUUACUAGACCAGAUGAACCAAUGUAUGUAAGAGACCUGUUUAUAAUAUACUCAGUGAACAAAUGAUAAUAUAAUGCUGUUGUGGAAAGCUCUCUAAUUUAUCUACAUCUUCUCUUUGAAGACCAUAAUUUUCUAUUUCCAUGUAAAGUGCCAUAGUAGCAUCUUAUAUUAUUGUACUGAGUACUGACCAUGGAAUUGUAUGACUUUAAUCUGUAAUCUUAGUUUUCACUGUUUUUAUAUAUCAAUAAACUCUGGGUGUAGGAAAGCUCA